This is a long non-coding RNA of Octopus bimaculoides (California two-spot octopus), 6302 nucleotides long. RefSeq lists it as uncharacterized. The record is from RefSeq and is a predicted model, not a curated record. NCBI's taxonomy places the organism in Eukaryota, Metazoa, Mollusca, Cephalopoda, Octopoda, Octopodidae.
AAAAGUAACGAGGUUGAUUCGUUUGACUAAAGCCCUUCAAGCAUGACCGCACAGAAAAACAAAUAACACACCCACGCUCACAGAUAUCGUAGACUGAUCCAUGGAAAGGCCAAUCAACUGAAUCAGCAGUAAAUCAUUUCUACUUCUCUCUUACAGACGGACUGCCUACUCUCAACUGCUACUACAAUGGCCUCUGCUUUUCAGAGCUAGCUGUUUUUUGUGCUACCCUACAUUCAGGUGCUCUCAACUCACCUAUCAUCAAUAAUAUGCAAUCCCGCUCAGCCCCCGUACAAUCACUACCUUAAUCCCUCUGCUCUAGAACGCCAGUCCUCUGAAAUUCCCUCCUUGGUCAUAUCUCUCCUCUAGGCAUCAACAUGCAACAGUUUAAGCUGAAAGUUAAUGGCAUUAAUUUCAUUGAUCUUGCUAAGUAAAAAAACAAACAAACAAAAACAACAGCGUAUGUCCUCGCAUACGCUGACACACGCAGAAAUAUGCGUAUCGCCUAGCAAUGUCACAACCGGUUAAAAAGAAAACAUCUUGAUGUAAAGCAACAGUAUGAUCGAUCAAAGGAAUGUUUCUGUUAAGUUAAAUUAUUUAUUGGAGAGGAUGAGACAUCUGCCGCUUUGUUUACAUUAAAAACCAACAGAUCAGGAAGGCUUACAGUUUAUUGAACAACUGAAAAGUUGUUGGCUGAUACUUAACCAAACAUCAUUAAUAACGUUUAAUUACAAUUCACUGUUUAUGAUUUAAGAAGCUUUAUGCUCGAUCAAAUCCGCAGGAUAUACAAUUCAGUAGGAGGCGUUAGAUGAAGCAUGCAAGAUGCAAUAGGAGUACUAUCAAGAGAUCUAACUAAAACCCUUUGGAAUUGAAUCAAGUGGGAGACUUCAGUUAAGUGGCAAAAGCACAAAAACAAAAAACAAAAGAGAGAGUAAGUGAUAUAAAAGAGGUGACCAAAUAAGUGAGCAGUGAGAAGACAGUCAACAGUAGCAGAAAGUCGGACUGCUGUGACCACAAGUUCGUAGUAUACAUACGAACACAUUAAACUGGAUGACCAUUAACGCCGACUGAUCCAUGUGGAAUUUAAGCAGCCUAAGUUUACUGUUUCCUUUCCUGGACUGGAACUACAAAUACAGUAAAUGCUGCAACAUCAAUAAAUUAAGAAAGAAGUAGCCAAUCAAGUGGUAUAAAAUCUCAAAAUGACAUACAGAGAAUUACUAAAUGUCUUUGACAAAGACUCUUCCUCUAAAUGUCAUCAAUGCAGUAGUAAUAUUUUGUUCUCACUCAUACUAUUUACUGGAAUCUCUCAAAUUGGUUUGAGUAUUGGCCUUUUAUUUCUGUGUAGAAAUCAGAUAAGUGAGGUAUCUUGUGCUUUCUCACUAAAAGCUCACCCUUGUACAGGUUUAGCCGCCCCUGUCUAUAUUGGAUGUCUUAUUCUCUGCAUAGCAAUUUUUGGAUUUGCUUGUCUUGGUCGGCGAGCAUCAGCAGCACUACUUUUACUCAUUACUGUUGGUGACAUUUGCCUGGGUUUUAUGCAAUUAGCAAGUGAGAAAAUUCUGUUCACUGACUAUUUUAAUACAUUUAAUUCAAGAGAAAUAUGUCAAUCUGCCCAACAAAAUUCAUCUCAACUUUUACAGUGCUGGAACCAUAUUACACAUCUAUACCCAGCCUGUAGUAUAUAUGAACAUGAGAUAACCAAUGACUGUGUUCACAGCUAUAAUAUUUACUUCAAUCGAUCAAGUCAAUCUGAAAGUAACAGAACUACUGUGCCAUGCAUUAGUGAUGUAAAUAGAUUGGUCAGUUCAACUUAUACGGACUUCCGAUUUAUGUGUGGCCCUAUUGUAUUACUCAAUGCUUUUGUCUGUGUCAUUCUUAUACUAUUUCUAGAGUUUUUUCAUCAACAGAAACAGAAUAGUAAGAAACAGCAACAUGACUUAGCAGCACUGGAAGGAAUUUAUGAAAUUUCUGAACAAAAGUAAUAAAAAUAUUUAUUCAAUGUCAAUAACUUACAUGGAUAUCCUCAUAAUCGUACUUCGGUUCACAUUCUAUUUUACUAAAUAAGCCAACUUUUGGUGAUCAUUCUAAAUUGAAUUAAAAGUAUUUUCUAAUACUAAUAAUAUUGAAUUUUCGUCUCUGUUUUUAGAAGGACAUUAACUAAAGAUCUAAAGUGUCAAACAGACCAUAUGUAUUAUAUAUUUAUAUACAUAUUUAUUUAAAUACUGAGUGUAUUUUAUUUAAUCUAAAUAAGAACUAAAUAGCAAGUCAUAGAAAGCAUAUUCAGGUUGCCUUUCUGCCAUAAUUUUAUAAGAAAUCUCAACUUCAAAAUGAUAAAAUUAGUUAUUUUACUAAAUCCUUACAAAUUCUAGAUUAUUUCAAAUUUUAAUUGAAGCAUGUUAGUAGUGUUUUGUUAGAAACAUGAUUAUAAAAGAAUUAAAUUUAAUGAUUCGACCAACCAAAGCCAGAAUGGAAAAUGGAUAUAACUUGCAAAAAAAAAAGAAAAAAAAUCAACAUAAUAGUUGUGUGAGUUAUGUGUGUAUAAAUAUGCCAUGAUAAAAACAAAACUACUACUUACUUUUAACAAUUAUCUUUGAAAUUUUUCCUAUUUAUAUAUAUUUUUAAAUGUGCUAGUAAAACUGCAAAAAUUCCCAUAAUGUUCCCAUUUUGAGUGCUCCUUAUACAAUAAGGAUUGUUGAAAUCCACAUCUAAACUUUUCACAGUUGUUUCUUUUGCAUAUGUAUUCCAGGUGCUAAUCUUGUGUAGUACAGUUUAACAUCACAUUUCACCUAAACAUUGAAGCCUACAGUCAUUGUAAGGAUGGUCCACUCUCGCCUUUUGCUACUUGCUACUCAAUUGGAAAUAGGAUUGCUAUUUGAAUUGAGAGAAAAUUCCUACUAUUUUUUUUUUUUACAUCUAAUAUCUAAUUUCAAUGAAGAUUUUUUAAGAUGUAUUGUCAGCUAUUUGUAGAUAUUUUUACUAAUGUAAUAUAAUAUGAGAUUGACAAUAGUCACAUGGACAAGUAAAAUCAUAUAUUGGUUAAUUGUGUUAAAUUUCUUAUCAAAGUGAUCAAUAUUGGUUGUAGUUGUUGUACCCCUUUAUCCUAAGUUAAAGUAACUUGUAAUAUUGUGUAAUGGAUUGAUUAUAUAUGUAUGAUAUGCACCUCUAGAGUAACAUUACUUGAUAGGGUGCAUAGCUCAGAGAUCAGGGAAUCGCUCUAGGUUGAGCUGUUACUCUUCCACACUGGGAGGUCACAACUCUGAUACUAUGGACAUGUGAUAAGAACGUCUUAAGAAAGAAUCACAAGGUGAAUUCUUCAAGCUGAACCAACCAGCAGGAGACCUAGGAGUAGAUUUAGAAUGAGAUGGUUGAAUAAUAUCCAAAGUUUCAGUUGGUUGCACUUGGGAAUCCAAAGGGAAAGUCUAACGAUGGCUGCUUCUUAUGGAGGAGAUGCCUGAAGAUUCUACCCCAACAAACCUCCCAGAAAUAGUGAGCAGAAAAGUUGGAUGGAUGGAUGGAGAUGUACCUAAGACUGGUGCAGUGUACAAAUGUACACUGUUUAACUUUCUUAUUUAGCCACAUUCUUGUAUACCACUUAUGAACUGAUCAGAGGAAAUGUGAUGUCAAACUACAUUAAGAAUGUCCAACAGCCAGUAUGCAUAUGGAAAAAAGAAACAAUAUGAAGAACUUAGUAUCAAUUCUUAAAAUUAAGUCUUGGUAAGCAUUGAAGAACACUCAUAAUAUAGAUCUCUUGAUGCUAAAUUAAAAGACACAUCUAUAAAUUUGAAAAGUUUUAAAAACAAAUUAUAUCCAUAUUUUAUAAUGACAUAUACAAAGACACAAAUAUUGGGUCAUCCCAUAGAUAAUGUGAUUUUUUUUGUACGUCUUUUAUUAUUCAAAAAUUAAGAUAAAGUUCUUUUUUAAUCUAAAAUAUAUUCUCCUUCAUUUUCUACAAUGCUUUUCCAUCAAUCUGGUAGAUUUGCAAGGCCCACCUUCCAAAUUUCACUUGUCCAUGACGAAAAAUACUCCUCCACUACUGUUCUGACCUCAUCUACAGAAUUCAUAUUUUUUCUAUCCAAAUGAUUUUGAAGGAUGUGGAAUAAAUGAUAAUCAGAUGGGGCAAUGUCUGGUGAAUAUUGUGGGUGGGGCAUAGUUUCUCAUUCAAACUGCUCCAGCCUUUGGAGUGUCAUCCUCGCUGUAUGUGGCUGAGCAUUAUCCUGAUGGAAGAACACCUUUUGUCUUGAAACCAAAGAUGGUCAUUUUUCUUCUACUGCUAACUUAAGCUGCUCAAGCUGUUCACAGUAGAUCUCCUUUGUUAUUGUUUGAUUUGGGUUUAAAAGUUCAAAUUGGACUAAACCUUUCAUAUCCCACCAAACAGAUAACAACACCUUAUGUGGGUGAAGACCUUCUUUAGCCUGGGGUGCCAGUGUUUCUCCUUUCCCUACCUACUGUCUUUGGCACCUGACAUUUUUAUAAAGAACUCAUUUCUUGUCACCAGUCACUAUUCAAUCCAAAAAAGGUUCACUUGUGAGAUGUGGCAGCAAAGAAGAGCACACACUCACUCUCUGCAUGCAAUUAAAUUCAGAAAGCUUGUGAGGAACCCACUGACCCAAUUUGCUGAUUUUUCCAGUGACAUGCAGGUGUCGAUGAAUGGUUGAAUGACCAAAUCCAAGCUUCUUUGCUAGUUCCUCAACAGUUACGAUGAGAUUUUGUUCCACCAAGGUUUGCAGGACGUCCUUGUUGAGCUCCACAGAUUGUCCAGGAUGAGGUUCGCCUUCUAGACUGUAGUUUCUGGUUUGGAAUUUCUGGAACCACUGUUGACACUGGCUUAUGUUUAUUCUCCAAUCCCCAUAUACUGCAUUAAUAAUCCUCGCACUUUCCAUUGUGUUGUUACUUUUAUUGAACUUAUAAAGCAAAAUAUGCCGAAUAUGCUCCUUUGUCACUUCCAUUAUAGCUUUGAAAAAAUAACUGUUAAAACUGAACUGCACUCUUCAAAACUUGCACUAAGAAUAAGUACAAGGGUAAAAUUACUACCUGCUUUUAUAACAAGUUGAUGCAAGUAGUUUAUCCCAUCCCUCUCCAACUUUUAGUUCAUGCAAUUGAAAAAACGCAUUAUUUACAGGAUGACCCAAUACUUACACAUGCUCACUCACAUAUGUCAUUAUGUUAACAUUUUCCCCAUGAAACAGUUUUCUAAACAUAAAAUACAAUAAACAUAAAUUAUGCAUAUUAUUGAAAUAACUCACAAUUUAGCUCAAUGAUGUUGUAUAAUGUGACAAUUCAUCCAUUACAUACCUGCUCUUGAAGCUGUCUGGUUUCUUCAGGUGAAUGAGAAGGCCAAUGCAGGAUACCUUGCCGGAGACAGAGAGCAGUGUUAUUCUAUGCUAGUUGUUGCAGUCACUUAGGGCUCCUUUCUUGGCUACUUUUCCUAUUACUCAAUCAAUUUUUCUUGUAUCAUGAAAGAAUCAUUGUGCAAAGUGAAAUAAUUGGGAAUAUGUUUUAUGAAAAGAAAAUUUCCUACUUGUAAGGCUAAGUUUUUGGGUUAGUAUACAACUACAUUAAGUUUUUAAAUUUAAUAUCUAUGAAAAGAAAUGUCCAAUCCUUCAACUUUGUUAUUUCAACAAGUUCUAUCUGCAAUAUAAUGUUAAAGAACAAAAUAAACAGAUUUGACAGCAAUGUGAAGUUUUCUCAUAUGAGAGGAUUUGAUAUUAGCUUUGUAGGCCAACAAACUCUUUAUCAGUUCCCAAUAUGAUGCUCCAUCACUGAAGUCUUUCCUCAUGGUUUUUACCUCUUUUGUAACCAGGUAAAGGGUUUGAGAAAAAAAUGAGUGCCUUAUCCUAUAAAACAGUGCAUCCAGCAUCUGAGUUCUUCCUCUAUGGGUUGAUAGAAUAUGUGACAGUUAAAUUCUAAGAAUGUCCCCUUCCUUAGUAAAAAGAAAUCAAUAUUAUUUUAAGUAAUGGGCACUGAGAUAAAACAGUAAAUUCUAGACAAACCAAUCCCCACAUUCAGCUGGUAUCAUUUCACUUACAUUGCUAAAACCCUUUAAAAAUUAAUGAACAUUACCAUUCCUCUUCAAAUAUGAGGCUUCAUGACAUUGUAAGGAAUCUUAAUUUAUUUUUAUUAUAUUUCAUUAUUAAAUGAAAAAGUAAUGAUACAGGAGUUAACCACAAAUUAUGAUUUAUAUAUGAUGUGACACUAUAUGCUAUUUUAGUUUACAAUCAAAAUGGUGAAAUAAAAACACUUCUUUUGAUUGGCACAUUUGCGCACUUGUACUAUUUAUAUAUUUUUAUAAUAAACAGAUUUUCCUCAAA